Molecule: ribosomal RNA, 365 nt
Filed under: uncultured eukaryote
Lineage: Eukaryota
Description: partial 18S ribosomal RNA
Rfam family: Eukaryotic small subunit ribosomal RNA
Source: RNAcentral
CAAUAGCGUAUAUUAAAGUUGUUGCAGUUAAAAAGCUCGUAGUUGAAUUUCUGGCGGGCGCGCCGGUCUUCCAAGUGUUGUACUGGGCGCAGUCCGCCAUCCUUGUGGAGAGGGCUCGCAUUGAGUUGCGUGUCGGAUCUGCAUCAUUUACUGUGAAAAAAUUAGAGUGUUUAAAGCAGGCUGUCGCUUGGAUACAUUAGCAUGGAAUAAUAAGAUAGGACUUCGGUCUAUUUUGUUGGUUGCGAACCGAGGUAAUGAUUAAUAGGGAUAGUUGGGGGUAUUCAUAUUUAAUUGUCAGAGGUGAAAUUCUUGGAUUUAUGAAAGAUGAACAACUGCGAAAGCAUUUACCAAGGAUGUUUUCAUUA